Pieris rapae (cabbage white) is the source of this 255-nucleotide long non-coding RNA. RefSeq lists it as uncharacterized. The transcript is spliced from 3 exons. Lineage: Eukaryota; Metazoa; Arthropoda; Insecta; Lepidoptera; Pieridae. The record is from RefSeq and is a predicted model, not a curated record.
AAGGUACAAAUAUGGUAAGCGGCGAGCAUUUUCAAUUGGUUUACAUUUCAACAUGAUGUCCUAUUCGAAUUUAUUUUUGAUUUUAAUUAUUUUUACAAUUCAAAUUGCAACUAUUUUUACUGCACCACCCGAGGAAAUGCCACAGAUUACGGGACUGAUUGAUCUUAAUAGCGGGAUUAUGAACAUAAGCCUCGGUUAAAGGAAUGCAAUCAUUUUAACUUCGAUGUGGCAAAAUCAAUAAAACUUAAGAAUACA